AGCAGCCGCGGUAAUUCCAGCUCCAAUAGCGUAUAUUAAAGUUGUUGCAGUUAAAAAGCUCGUAGUUGAAUUUCGGAGUUUGUCGGUUGGUCGGGCUUCACUGUCCGCACUGGCCUGAUGGAUUCCUACCUUCUGAAUAACCAGCAUGCUAUUAAUUUAGUGCGUUGGGGAAGCAGAGCUAUUACCUUGAAAAAUUAGAGUGCUUAAAGCAGGCUUACGCUUGAAUAGAUUAGCAUGGAAUAAUAAAAUAGGACGGCUUGGUUCUAUUUUGUUGGUUUCUAGGAUCACCGUAAUGAUUAAUAGGGAUAGUUGGGGGCAUUAGUAUUCAAUUGUCAGAGGUGAAAUUCUUGGAUUUAUUGAAGACUAACUUCUGCGAAAGCAUUUGCCAAGGAUGUUUUCAUUAAUCAAGAACGAAAGUUAGGGGAUCGAAGACGAUCAGAUACCGUCGUAGUCUUACCAUAAACUAUGCCGACUAGGGAUCGGACGAUGUUAAUUUUUUAAUGACUCGUUCGGCGCCUUA
This 520-nucleotide ribosomal RNA is filed under the name uncultured Acaulospora. Its description in RNAcentral is "SSU rRNA". It matches the Rfam family "Eukaryotic small subunit ribosomal RNA", at positions 569 to 1090 of the family's 1831-position model. Lineage: Eukaryota; Fungi; Glomeromycota; Glomeromycetes; Diversisporales; Acaulosporaceae. The record is from RNAcentral.